ACUCCUACGGGAGGCAGCAGUGGGGAAUAUUGCACAAUGGGCGCAAGCCUGAUGCAGCCAUGCCGCGUGUGUGAAGAAGGCCUUCGGGUUGUAAAGCACUUUUCAGUCGUGAGGAAAGGUAGUGUAGUUUAAUAGCUGCAUUAUUUGACGUUUAGCGACAGAAGAAAGCACCGGCUAACUCCGUGCCAGCAGCCGCGGUAAUACGGAGGGUGCGAGCGUUAAUCGGAAUUACUGGGCGUAAAGCGCAUGCAGGUGGUUUGUUAAGUCAGAUGUGAAAGCCCGGGGCUCAACCUCGG
Molecule: ribosomal RNA, 296 nt
Filed under: uncultured bacterium
Lineage: Bacteria
Description: partial 16S ribosomal RNA
Rfam family: Bacterial small subunit ribosomal RNA
Source: RNAcentral